Long non-coding RNA from Dreissena polymorpha, 9112 nucleotides. RefSeq lists it as uncharacterized. NCBI's taxonomy places the organism in Eukaryota, Metazoa, Mollusca, Bivalvia, Myida, Dreissenidae. The record is from RefSeq and is a predicted model, not a curated record. The transcript has 22 exons.
ACGACUUCGUUUUGAACAUUCAUGGUACAUCCCUGGGCAUGCCUCAGGUGUGAAUUCGGACAUCUGAAACGAGGUGCUAAAGGUUAACCCAUCAGGGUUUGUUACUUUGCACUCCAAGCCCAAUUGACCACACAUUGAAUUGGCAAUAGACAAGGCGUAAAAAGAUGACAGCAGUUUGGAUGUGUCAACCAGUAUGCCCUUCGACUCUCAACUCGGCCAUAAGCAAUAUCAAUUAGGCUUGCAUGUCAUCUCAGCUUCUUGAGUAUCUGAUUACAUUAUUAUCCAAGAAGAAGAACAUUGUUGAAGUAAAUGUUGAAAACAGUCCAAACCCCCUUCUCACACAAAUACUACAAGUCGCUCGAGACAUUCAGCACGCCACCUAUGAACAUCUCGCACAAAAACAACAAGUCGUUCAAGAAAUUCAGCACGCCACCUAUGAACAUCUCCCACAAAUACUACAAGUCGCUCAAGAUUCAGCACGCCACCUAUGAACAUCUCCUACAAAUACUACAAGUCGCUCAAGAAAUUCAGCACACCACCUAUGAACAUCUCCCACAAAUACUACAAGUCGUUCAAGAAUUUCAGCACGCCACCUAUGAACAUCUCCCACAAAUACUACAAGUUGCUCAAGAAAUUCAGCACGCCACGUAUGAACAUCUCGCACAAAUACUACAAGUUGUUUAAAAAUUUGGCAGGCCAUGUAUGAACAUCUCCCAGAAAUACUACAAGUCGCUCAAGAUUCAGCACGCCACCUAUGAACAUCUCGCACAAAUACUACAAGUCGCUCAAGAAAUUCAGCAUGCCACCUAUGAACAUCUCCCACAAAUACUACAAGUCGCUCAAGAAAUUCAGCACGCCACCUAUAAACAUCUCCCACAAAUACUACAAGUCGCUCAAGAAAUUCAGCACGCCACCUAUGAACAUCUUCCAAUACUACAAGUCGCUCAAGAAAUUCAGCAUGCCACCUAUGACCAUCUCGCACAAAUACUACAUGUCGGUCAAGAAAUUCUGCACGCCAUCUAUGAACAUCUCGCACAAAUACUACAAGUCGCUCAAGAAAUUCAGCACGCCACCUAUGAAAAUCGCCCACAAAUACCACAAGUCGUUCAAGAAAUUCAGCACGCCACGUAUGAACAUCUCCCACAAAUACUACAAGUCGUUCAAGAAAUUCAGCACGCCACCUAUAAACAUCUCACAAAUACUACAAGUCACUCAAGAAAUUCAGCACGCCACCUAUGAACAUCUCCCACAAAUAAUACAAGUUGUUCAAGACAUUCAGCACGCCACGUAUGAUCAUCCCCUUGAAAUACUACAAGUCUUCAACAAAUUCAGCACGUCACCUAUGAACAUCUCACAAAUACUAUAAGUCGCUCAAGAAAAUCAGCACUCCAGGUAUUAACAUCUUGCACAAAUACUACAAGUCGCUCAGGCAAUUCAGCGUGUCACCUAUGAACAUCUUGCAUGGUGGCUUGGUGAGUCUGACUUCUGUCUUGACAAGUCACUCAAGAUAAAAUAAUCGGAUCUAACAGACAGAGCAGGUGCUGAGUGACUCGUCUGUUAACUUGACUGACCUCGAUACGUUGCUCUCGAAUAAUGAGAACCUGACGCACGAGGAACAGUGCUGUCAAACAUUCCCAGUUUUUGGUUGGCGACUUCACUGUCAGGACUCACACAAUCUCUGCCUAUAAGCAACAAAAACAGGUAGUAUAUUAGCUGCGCUCUGGAAAAACAGUGCUAAAGUGUUGUCCCAGAUAAGCGUGUUAAGUCUGCCCAGGCUUAUUAGUGACCACGUGUUCUGAAUAUGCCUUUAAAACAAAAAAUUCCAUUAAAGUGGAAAGUGUCGUGGCUGUUUGUGCAGACAGCACAGUCUAAUCUGGAACGACUCUUUUUUUUAACUGGUCAAACUGAGUAAAUAAAUACUUAUAAGUGUUGAUUUGAUAUCAGUGUUAAUCAUAAAAGGUCGGGGCAUAUUUUCAUACAUUUUUGUGCCAAAAUUCAGCCUCUAAACCAAAAGUUGUUUCUUUGUUUUCACUUGUAUAUUACAAAUAAUCCCUUUUCAUAAAUUAAACAUGAUACUUAUUAAAUGUUGUUUAAGAUAAGUUAAACAAUUAUUGAAAUGCAGUAAACAUUCUAUGAAAUAAUUAUCUGCAUUUAUUUUAAAUAAGAAUAUCUAUAAACUACAAUUUACCACCUGUCCAGGUUUUCAGUAUACAGAUAUGCAACUGGAGUGAUGAUAUGCCCUGAAGAUAUUUAUUAAUUAUACCCCCUGUUAAUUGGGGUAUAAUGGAAUCCCCUUGGACGGACGUCUAUCUGUCUGUCUUUCCAUCUGUCUGUGGGCGUUCACUUAACGAUUCAACGUUCAGCUUUCAAACUUUCAGGACCCCAUGCAGUCACACAUCUGUACACAGCGGACAACAACAGGCUCUCUGGUCAGCUGGGCCCCUACAGGACCCCAUGCAGUCACACAUCUGUACACAGCGGACAACAACGGGCUCUCUGGUCAGCUGGGCCGUUACAGGACCCCAUGCAGUCACACAUCUGUACACAGCGGACAACAACAGGCUCUCUGGUCAGCUGGGCCUGGACGCCCGGGGACAAAUCCUUGGUAUAGGCGGUGAGCUCUUGGGCCAGGAAUUUGGGGCAAAGCUGAAUGAGUCCUACCCCAAGGGUACAUCCAGUCUAACAAUGGGGCUCCAAACUUCCCUUCUCAGGGGCAGAUAUAACCUCAUCUACAAGGGCCCUUAUCAUCACAAGUUUGGCCCAGCAAAUGAUGUUCCUCAACUGCAACACAGCCACUGCAUCUCAACAGGUCCUCAGUCUCUCUUGCAACAACAGAAGCUGAAGUUGAAGUGUGAAAGAGAGGAAGAGUUGACAUAAAAUUGCUGCUUCAGCCUUCAUUGGAACAUCAGCAGCAACAACAAAACUUAAAAUUCAGCAAUCAACAGUUCGAUUGACGAAGGCUUUCAAAUGUUGGAGACUACAUGAGAUUUUGACAGAUGGCGGGAAACCCUCAUCAACUGGAGAUCAGCCGGUAAAAAGGUGGCCUUAAAACAGUGACCGUUGAUUCGCGUCGAGUUCUUUCUUACAUGCUGGAUGACCUAUCUUUUUUAUUGUAUAAAUCCAUUUGGCUUGGCAUGCUCUUUAAGAAAAGGUAUGGGUAUGGGAAUGUCUAGGCGCAAAAGUUUGACUUCAUUUUUCGUUGAAGUUGUCAGUUUCACAUUGAAUUUGUUAAGAAAACCUUUGGUAUAUUGUGACCUUAAAAAUACUAUGGGUAAAAAUAUGGCGGCUGUUAGUGGUUUGCAUCUGACAUUAUGUUUGCUCUAUAUUUCAAAACAUUGGAUCAUCAUGAAAGUUGGUGAUAAAGUUUUUUGUCAUAAUCUCUCGUCCAAGUUUAGUUAGCAGCCAGAUUGAAUUUAGCACUUUCACCGUAUAUUUUUGUUUAAUGAAGAAAAAUUGACCAAAUUAAACUUGUCUGGCAUUGCACUCAUAAUAAAUGUAACCCAGUCUUCUAAACAGGAUUUUGUUGGCAUUCCCGUUGUUCAUUUAUUUGGAUUAUGAAGUGAGUGAAAAAUUGCGCCCUGUCUAAGCAUAAAUACCAUAAUAAUUUAUGCAAUUGGCGUAAUUUUCUUGAUAAUUUACAUAUCUUUUGGAGAAAUGUUUACAUUGCAAAACUAUGUAAUGCUUUGUAUAGUGUAUGUCCUGUGUCUAACUUCAUGUCACAUGGUGAAUUACCUUAAGUAAAGGACCUUGUAGGGAUGGAUAGGAUGAUCUCCUGCUAAUGCUACUGGAGUUUCACUUUGUUGAUAUUUUAUUUCACAGGAAAACAUGUCAAUUACCAACGCAUAUUUCCCUGAAAACCUGGCCAAGCUUAUAAACAGUGCUAAUGCGCCAAACGUGACCCUUCAGAGAAAUGGGAUUCCAGGACAAAUGUCAAACCGUUACCAAUCUGGGCUCCAGCAGCAGACUCAGCCGUGGUGGGCAGGUUUAUAAAGCACCCAUGGUCUCAAUGCUCUCUGAACAUCUCAAUCUCUCAGAAGCCUCAUUCAUGGGGGGCAGGUUUAUAAAGCACCCAUGGUCUCAAUGCUCUCUGAACAUCUCAAUCUCUCAGAAGCCUCAGUCAUGGGGGCAGGUUUAUAAAGCACCCAUGGUCUCAAUGCUCUCUGAACAUCUCAAUCUCUCAGAAGCUUCAGUCGUGGGGGCAGGUUUAUAAAGCACCCAUGGUCUCAAUGCUCUCUGAACAUCUCAAUCUCUCAGAAGCCUCAGUCGUGGGGGCAGGUUUAUGAUGUACCCAUGGUCUCACUGCUCUCUGAACUGCGUUUGAUUGGUAGAUGGUCAUCUUGUGACAAAGCCCUAACUUAUCAUUGGCCAAGUAACUUUUGCACAAUAUCCAAUUAAUAAUUCUGUAUCUCACCACUCAUGGGAAUUCAGAGGCUGUGUAGCUGAUAUUCUAUUCAGGGUUAUUAACUAACAUUGUGCCCAUAGUUGUGUAAAGUUGUGUGAAUAUCUUUGUUUAAAAAAAGGAGAACGCAUAAAACAUUUGCAUCACUUGUAAUCAAAAAUGUUCGAUGAAGGAACAAUCAUUUUGCAAUAUGACAAAUAUUCCAGAAUAUGUUUGUCUUUUGACGGAUCUUGGUCAGUGUCUAGCAGUAUCCAGGCAAACAAGCCAAGUCAGCAAAGCAGCAAUAAGAUCAGCAGCAGUCAAGUUGAGCGUCGCCCAAAACCACCCAGUGCCUUGCGAUGAAAACCUCCAACGGGACUGUGACCUUGCCCUUGUACACACCUAAUGGUCAGGUUGACGGUCACUUGGGCUUAGAUAGUCACUGCAGUAAGAAGAAACUGUGUAAGGUUUUAAAGUAAAGAAGAUGAGUUCACAACAUGACAUCCGAGACUGCAGGGACGAAAUGAGUGUCCUCACUUCAGCAGUGGAAGCCAAGACACAAUACGAGAAUUUCCAGCUGCUUACCUAAUCUGAAAACCUGGGAAGCAGAGCAAUGAGUAUGUCCAAGGAGCAUUUGCAGUCACAGCAAGUGAACCAUGGGCAGUCAUCGUCUCCAGAUUCUGAGAUCCCCAUGCUUCAAAACCAUCAGUCUAUGAAAAUCAUGCAGAGCCAACCUUGGACGUCCAUUGACGAAUCAAACCGGCAAAUCAGAAGGACAGCCUGUUGCUACAGUUGUUAACCCCAGUCAUACAGAAGAAGCUCAGAGAUAUAAAUGCUGUUUAAGAUGUGCUUGUCUCUGCAUACUCCAUGUCUGGUGUGAACAUGUACAAUUGAAGGUCUCUACAUACUCCAUGUCUGGUGUGAACAUAUACAAUUGAAGGUCUCUACAUACCCCAUGUCUGGUGUGAACAUGUACAAUUGAAGGUCUCUACAUACUCCAUGUCUGGUGUGAACAUGUACAAUUGAAGGUCUCUACAUACACCAUGUCUGGUGUGAACAUGUACAAUUGAAUGUCUCUAUAUACCCCAUGUCUGGUGUGAACAUGUACAAUUGAAAGUCUCUACAUACCCCAUGUCUGGUGUGAACAUGUACAAUUGAAGGUCUCUACAUACCCCAUGUCUGGUGUGAACAUGUACAAUUGAAGGUCUCUACAUACCCCAUGUCUGGUGUGAACAUGUACAAUUGAAGGUCUCUACAUACCCCAUGUCUGGUGUGAACAUGUACAAUUGAAAGUCUCUACAUACCCCAUGUCUGGUGUGAACAUGUACAAUUGAAGGUCUCUACAUACCCCAUGUCUGGUGUGAACAUGUACAAUUGAAGGUCUCUACAUACCCCAUGUCUGGUGUGAACAUGUACAAUUGAAGGUCUCUACAUACUCCAUGUCUGGUGUGAACAUGUACAAUUGAAGGUCUCUAUAUACCCCAUGUCUGGUGUGAACAUGUACAAUUGAAGAUCUCUACAUACACCUUGUCUGGUGUGAACAUGUACAAUUGAAUGUCUCUACAUACACCUUGUCUGGUGUGAACAUGUACAAUUGAAGGUCUCUACAUACACCAUGUCUGGUGUGAACAUGUACAAUUGAAUGUCUCUACAUACCCCAUGUCUGGUGUGAACAUGUACAAUUGAAGGUCUCUACAUACCCCAUGUCUGGUGUGAACAUGUACAAUUGAAGGUCUCUACGUACCCCAUGUCUGGUGUGAACAUGUACAAUUGAAGGUCUCUACAUACCCCAUGUCUGGUGUGAACAUGUACAAUUGAAGGUCUCUACAUACCCCAUGUCUGGUGUGAACAUGUACAAUUGAAGGUCUCUACAUACCCCAUGCCUGGUGUGAACAUGUACAAUUGAAAGUCUCUACAUACCCCAUGUCUGGUGUGAACAUGUACAAUUGAAGGUCUCUACAUACCCCAUGUCUGGUGUGAACAUGUACAAUUGAAGAUCUCUACAUACCCCAUGUCUGGUGUGAACAUGUACAAUUGAAGGUCUCUACAUACUCCAUGUCUGGUGUGAACAUGUACAAUUGAAGGUCUCUGCAUACCCCAUGUCUGGUGUGAACAUGUACAAUUGAAGGUCUCUACAUACCCCAUGUCUGGUGUGAACAUGUACAAUUGAAGGUCUCUACAUACUCCAUGUCUGGUGUGAACAUGUACAAUUGAAGGUCUCUACAUACCUCAUGUCUGGUGUGAACAUGUACAAUUGAAGGUCUCUACAUACCCCAUGUCUGGUGUGAACAUGUACAAUUGAAGGUCUCUACAUACCCCAUGUCUGGUGUGAACAUGUACAAUUGAAGGUCUCUACAUACCCCAUGUCUGGUGAGAACAUGUACAACUGAAGAUCUCUACAUACCCCAUGUCUGGUGUGAACAUGUACAAUUGAAUGUCUCUAUAUACCCCAUGUCAGGUGUGAACAUGUACAAUUGAAGGUCUCUACAUACCCCAUGUCUGGUGUGCACAUGUACAAUUGAAUGUCUCUACGUACCCCAUGUCCGGUGUGAACAUGUACAAUUGAAGGUCUCUACAUACCCCAUGUCCGGUGUGAACAUGUACAAUUGAAUGUCUCUACAUACCCCAUGUCUGGUGUGAACAUGUACAAUUGAAGGUAUCUACAUACCCCGUGUCCGGUGUGAACAUGUACAAUUGAAGGUCUCAUCUUUGAAAUUGGGACAGGUGGAAAAUUAAUGAAUUGAUGCAGACAGAAGUCGCAUAAUGACAAAUCAAACAAAACGUGUAAAUCAAGACAGUCUAGUGGCCAGCCAUGUUUUUAUGUGACCAUCCAAGUUGUGUUCAAAGAAAACAAUAGUUCAUGUUUUAUUGGAACUAUGAUGCUGAUAGUCAUUUUAUGUAAAAGGCUUUUAUUAACUAUAUUUAAAUACUCAGUAUAAUAAGAUUAAGAUUACUUGAUAAAAGCAAUAAUGAACAAUAUUAUUUUAAGAGCAAAAUUAGCAAGUCUAUCCAAUUACUGUGUCUGUAUUAUGAAAUUUUAUUUUGGAAAUGUUAAGGAAAAUAUAAUGUUACUAAAUAUAUGUCUAUGAAUGUUGAUUUUAACAUUUGUCAAAGCUGUUUAAAUGAUGCUGGUAACUUUGACAAAAUUGAAAGAAAAUGUAUUAUUUUCAUGUAAAGAGACAUGCUUCAGUUUGUUUUGCUUAACAUGUAAUAUAGAGGUGGUAGUUACACACAUUGUUUAGACAGGUGGAUAAUUACAAUGCUAAGGCUUUGAUACUCUUAAGUGUGCCCAUUGGUGUCGGGUGUUUUUGUCAAGCAUCUUGUUUAUUAUCAUAGUAUUUCAAGACAAUAUUGAUUAAUUUUAGACAAAAUCAUUUAAUCUUCCUUAAAUUGUCUAUUCGGUAUUUACUACCAGUUAUUUAUUAAUUUACUUGAACAUGAUUUAAUAAUGACUUUUUUGUUGCUUAAAAUGCUUUAUAUGUUUUAAAACUAAGCAUUUAAAACGAAAAUAUAAGAUGUGGGAAUAAUGUCUAAAGUUAUGAUAGUUAUUUUUUGUUUUUGUAAAGUUAAUUAUGCCUUAUAUGUUUGUGUAUAGACAUUUAGACGACCAGAUUAACCUGACAAAGAAUUCUUGAUCAAUGUGUAUAUCGGUCAGUACAUUUGUCAUUUGUAUAUAGAGCGAUUGCGAAAUGAUUGUAUUGUUAAUGAAAAUCAUGCGUUUAUUGUUGCCAUUUUGAUUUUCGCUGUUAACAUGUAUUUGUACAAACAAUUUUCAUCAUGUACAUCUUUUAGGUGCCAGAUAAUAAAAAAAACAUUGCUUGUGGAGAUGCUCAUUUAAAACUUUCUUAAAGAUACAGAACAACACAUUCUGAAGAGGCUAAUAUGCUUUAGGCAAAAGGAACAUCUUGUUACUAGUAUAUGUAAUGCCUUUCACUAAAUAAAGUCAAGCAACUAUUGAAAGAUUGGUUUAACUUUGUUUUGCAUUAUCAUAAGAAAAAUUAAUAUAUUCAACUUGGAAAUCAGUCAAUUGCAAAUCAAGCGAGAGUGAUUUAACAUGCUAACACUUGUCAAUAAUUGAAUUGUCUCUCUUUGUACAUAAGAUAUAGGGAUGUUGUUGCUUGAAAAACAAAGUUGUAUCCGUUGUUAGAUAAUGCUUUUGUUCAUCUCUCAACAUAACAAGUACAUUCAUACAGUUAUUAAAAAUUUGACACUCUUAAUUCUCAGCCAUCAGUUUGUAUUGGGAAUUUGUGGAAUACUUACUAAACUAAUAUACGUCUGUUUAAUGAAUUAACAGCUAUGGUACAAUAUGAUACUCAAUGUUACAAAACAUGUGUAAUAAAAAUAUAAUGUCAUUUAUUUCAAAUCAUAAAAUUUAGUUGUCCAUACAAUGCUUACAGUUUUGCAAUUGCGACGAUAAAGGAAAUGUUCUGCUCAAAAUGUCUUUUUAAGACAUGUGAAAAUUGUAGCAAUCAUAUUGUACUUGUAUUUAUAUUAUACAUUAUAAGAAUUUACUUACAGCUGAUGAUAGCGGCAGUUUACUAGUUGUGUAACAGUUUGUUCCACUCGACCAUUAGACCAUAUUUCCUUAAAAAUGUGAUUGUUAAUAUUGAACUGUAAUUGAAUGCAUGAAACAUGAUUGUUCUGUUGCUUAACAGCUGAAAAUAGCUUGAUGUUUGUAAAAUUGUAUGAAAUGUUUCAAAUAAAUCAUAUUGAUUACAUAAAAAAAUAAAAUUA